UUUUUUUUAAACCCGAGUUGAUGUGUGUUUUAUAUAGGUUGCACCACUCGGUGUUCAGGAGUAACAUCCCUUGUAACAGUUGUUGUCAACCAAGAUCAUGGAUGGCAUACCAGCUGAUUUUGGUAUAUCUUAUGGUGAAGAGUAGUUCAGGCAAGACCAGUAUGUGGUCCAUAAUACUUGCUAAUUGUAUUGCAAGGGACACAAGAAGAAUAGGUGCAACAAUUUCCUCUUCUGAUGAUUGGGAAAUUACAUUUGAAAGUAUCACAGAUCUCCAGUGGCUGGGAAGUGGAGCUCAGGGAGCUGUAUUUCUUGGCAAACUCUGUAAUGAAGAAGUAGCAGUCAAGAAGGUCAGAGAUGUUAAAGAGACAGACAUUUGGAACUUAAGGAAACUGAAUCACCCAAACAUUAUAGCCUUCAAUGUUCUUGUGGCAUUCAAUGAUAUUGUCAGGAACCAGCCGAGAGUGGAAUGAAAAAAAAAAAGCACUAAAAUGUCAUUUGCUGGCACUGUGACCUGAAUGGCAUCAGAAGUCAUUUGAAAUAAAAUGUGCAGUGAAAUGAAAAAGUAGACAUUUGGAGUGCAAAGCUCAAAAAUAGACCAUCAUUUAGACAAAUUCUCAUGCACCUUGAGAUUGCCUCUGCUAAAUUACUUUGGUUCAGUCGGGAGGACUUUUCUGAAUCUCAAUGAAGUCCUUAACUGAAAGACACAGAUUCUGUCAUUAUCAUCAAGAUAGUCUAAGAUAGGAUCUGAGGUGAGAACAAUUACUGACUAUGUACAAUAACAGUAGUAAGAGUAUAAUUCGUCCAAUCAUAAAAGUUCUAGAAAAGCUAGAUCGACUUGGUAAAAAAAACUGACACAUAGGUCAGAGUCUGAAGUCACCAUGCCUGACUCUAUAAAAAACACAGAAGGGAGCAUGAUAACCAGGUCUAAGCUGGUACCACCACCUCCUACGAAAAUGCGUGCCAGGAAGUCUCGUCAUCGUCACAAAAACAGCAGAGGGUCUAUGAAAGACAUUACCUCUCCGCUCAAAUCUCAAUCUACAUAUGAAGCUUCACUGGACACCCAAACAUCAGAAAAACUAAACCCUGCAGGGCUUCAUCCUACAGACCUAUGCUAAGACAUUAAACUUUUUGGGACCUGCCACUGCAAUCAGGGAGUAUCGAAGUGAAGAUGAAGCUGAUGGGCAAGAGACUAGGUUAACAACAUAAAAAAACGUCAAGUUCGUUGUAGCAAAAACUCAUCCACUUCUGCUGCUAGGCACUCGCCAAUCUCAAAACAUUCUCGUGUAAGUAAAAGCAGAACUCAUCCUAUCAAGACAAUAACUUUAAUGAUGUUUGCUUUGGCUGUGAUGGUGGCUGCAGUGAUGCUACUUAUAGCAGCAAAUGCUCAUCCCAGGUCAGUGUUGAUGUGGAGAACACAUUUGACCUAUGCCCAGCCCAAAACAGAACUUGGAAACUAUGAGUGAAAAAUCCUCUCCGGAUAUUGACCUCUCAUCCUGACCUGAAACCUUUAUUUCAAUGCUGACAUAACAAACAGAUGGUUUGGUUAUUGUUGUAUUUGAAAAACACAAAUGUCUACCAAAAUUGAGGCCCACUUUCUUCAAUUCUUUACAAAGGUAACCUGCAGCAUGUUAAAAGGAUGAAGUUUGUGAUAGGCUUCUUAAAAAGUUGGUUCCAAUAAAAAUUAAACUGAGUUAAUUCAUAAGUAUCAAUUUUAACCAGGUGUAAUAGUUUGUAUUUCAAAUGUCUAAUAAGUCCACUUGGGCAUUAUUUGUUUAUUGGGAGCUCUGUUUGAUUAGCCAGUGCAGUAGGAAUUUUAUCUCUUUCCCAAAAAUGAGCAUUUUAAAAAAUUUCCUUAAAACUUAAAGAUGACUCAUUUUCAAAAGCUAAUUGCAUUCAAGAUUUGGGUGGCAGAGUGGCUUAGCCAAUACGCAAGGAACUACUGCAUCUUGGUAAUAAGCUAAUGCACAGGAAAAUAGUAUUUAUUGACUAUUGCUAACAACCAAUAUAAAAAGGAUUUUCAGCCAGUGCAUGUUUUCAAGAGGGUAAAAUUUCUCUUAAAUAAAUACACACAAUGAUUUUG
RNA transcript from Biomphalaria glabrata, 2080 nucleotides. RefSeq lists it as uncharacterized. The transcript is spliced from 7 exons. NCBI's taxonomy places the organism in Eukaryota, Metazoa, Mollusca, Gastropoda, Planorbidae. The record is from RefSeq and is a predicted model, not a curated record.